RNAcentral lists this ribosomal RNA (530 nucleotides) under Oidiodendron maius. RNAcentral describes it as "eukaryotic LSU rRNA". The stretch from base 202 to 355 matches the Rfam family "5.8S ribosomal RNA". The record is from RNAcentral. Lineage: Eukaryota; Fungi; Ascomycota; Leotiomycetes; Myxotrichaceae.
UUUCCGUAGGUGNACCUGCGGAGGGAUCAUUACAGAGUUCAUGCCCUCCGGGUAGAUCUCCCACCCACUGCUAUCACUACUCUCGUUGCUUUGGCGGGCCGCUGGGCCCUGCCCGGCCGCCGGCCCCGGCUGGCGCGUGCCCGCCAGAGACCUCACAGACUCUGAAUGUUAGUGUCGUCCGAGUAACUAUAUAAUCGUUAAAACUUUCAACAACGGAUCUCUUGGUUCUGGCAUCGAUGAAGAACGCAGCGAAAUGCGAUAAGUAAUGCGAAUUGCAGAAUUCAGUGAGUCAUCGAAUCUUUGAACGCACAUUGCGCCCUGUGGUAUUCCGCAGGGCAUGCCUGUUCGAGCGUCAUUUCAACCCUCAAGCCUCGCUUGGUGUUGGGCCCUGCCCGUCGCGGCCGGCCCUAAAGAUAGUGGNGGCGCCACCUGGCCCUCAGCGUAGUACAGCUCUCGCUCCAGGGUCCGGCGGCAACCUGCCAGAACCCCCCAACUCUGUGNAGACCUCGAUCAGGAGGAACCCGCGAAUA